UAUCUGUGACACUUGAUCCUGAUCCUGAAGACUUGGUAAGAACUCAACUAGGAGCUCAACUAGGGGAAGAGGCUAAUGGCAUACUAGACUAGAUUAUGUUGAAGAAUGGACAACUCAAAGAACUUGGUAUGUUUGGGACUUUGGAAUCUCCAUAAUGGAAGGUACCCAUGAGUGAGGGCUGGAGAGAAGUGAGGAGGGGUUUGGACCAGAGCUUGAAAUGUCUUCAAUACCGUGCUGGAUUUCUUCUGUUUGUCUCUCCAGGUAGCUCUUUACCCUUGUCCACCAUGUUCUUGGAAGGUCAUUAGUGGGUCUUUUUGCCCUUCAUCUUCUUAUUGGAUUCCCCCAGCACAGAACUCUGGCAGGAAACUGAAAGAAGGGAGAAGAGUGAGGUCAAAGCAUUUGCUUUGUUGGCUCCUUCCACAAGAAGUCAUCUGGGAUUGGCUGCUUCCCCCAGCUGAGGGUCAUUGGGACUCUAAACCUGGCCAAGUCAACUUGUCCUUUAAGGAUCAGGUGUGUUAUGGGAUGUAUGAUUCUGGAAAGCUGGCCUGGAGCGAGAUUGAUGUGGACCUUGGAUUCUCUGCCAGGGGUUUUGAACUUUUUGCUGCUGAGAAGAGGAGCCAUUAAAGGACAAAUUGAAGAUCAUUAAGAACUUCUUCUCCCUCCGAUGAGUCCUUCUGCCUCAAUGUGCCAUGAGGCUAUCAUAUUUGCCUCCCUCUGUGUGCACAGUUGACGAGCAUAUCACACAGUAGAGGCUAAAGUGGCCACAAGAGGCUGCGUUGAGGUUGCUGGAGAAGAGAGAAGCACACGGCCAGAGAGAAGGUUCAUGGGAUGUCCACUAUUUAGAUGCCUGACUUCAGAGUUAGCCAUGUCUUGGCUCUUGGCAAUUCCUAAGGAAAUUCUGGAUGACGACCCUUGGAAGACUUUCUGGCCCAGGUAAUGCAUUUCAUGUUCUCCUUCAUGUUUCUUCUUUGCCCUUCUCAUGAGUAGACUUAGAUUUAUACACACACACACAAAAGUUUCAGUUCUCAGCUCAGAAGAUAGAAAUUUCUUGACGUCUGAGCAGAAGGGGGAUCACUGAGACUCAAGAAAGCACUUCAUGACCGGGGUCAUGAUGGUGUAUCGAUCAGCGCUGGCUGUUUUCUAUCAGUCAGGGUGGCAUGGGUGGUAACAAACAGCCCCCAGAUAUUUUUUUAACCCUUUUGUGUAAAAUAAAACACAGAUAAUGCAACCCCCGAGAAACAGUAUUUAUCGCCUUAUUAUAAGGCUAACACCCUUGUAACAGGUACUCAAGUUUGGAAACGGAGCUCAGAUGCCCUGUCCCUUGGCUCCCUCCCAAACUAACCAUCUUCUUCACCUUUCUGUAAAAAGCCCCAAAUCGUAAUGGGUGAAAACAA
RNAcentral lists this long non-coding RNA (1394 nucleotides) under Canis lupus familiaris (dog). RNAcentral's name for it is "lncRNA (ENSCAFG00000048801.2)". The record is from RNAcentral. Lineage: Eukaryota; Metazoa; Chordata; Mammalia; Carnivora; Canidae.